AAAUAUUUUGGCAGCCAAAUUGCUCCGAGUUCCAUGUCUCCAACUCGAAAGCCGCAAAUCCGUUCAGUCGACGCACGAACGGUGACCACGUCACUCUCCAUCCAAGACAAAAGCGCUAAAAUCAAUGCAAUAAUGGAAUUUUCAAAACAUGACAAAUGAAAUACUCACCUAAUUGGACAAAAACCGGCGCAAUUGUUAUUGUUUUGCAGAGCAAGUUGUCUCAUGGCAGGCAAAACACAAACCACGUGACAUCGCCAGCCAGCAAGUUCCAGCUUCAAGCUCCAGCCAACCACCGACCGCGACCGUGCUGCCCUCUCCUCACACCGAAAGUUAAAGUUGAGAGACUGCACCGGCCGCCCAGCUGGACAAGUAAACAAACCAACCAAGAAGUAACAAACAAUGCCAACGACAAACAAAUUCUCUCACUCCAACCGCAGGCCGUGGCCGCUCUGGCCGCUGCCCCGCUCAAUGAGACCUGCCUGCUUGCACAACAACAAUUUCGCCACCAACAAUUGCAAAACUCCUUCGCAACAGUAUCUUUGAGGUACCAGAGAUGGCCAGACUCCAAUUACCUCACGAGCACCAUCUGCUGCCAUGGCUGAGCGCAUCUACAAGUUGAACUACACCAAGAGCGCCCUGCCAGGUAGCACCUGCAGAACCAGAGAACGACAACUACGCACACGCCAGUCACCACCUGUCACCUGCCGGUACCAUUUGAAGGACGCGAGGGCGCGUCCAAGCUAAACGGGAGGCAGUCUGUGGUGACAUCCAGAACGACCGCGAAUUAUGUCGACUCCAAGAAUAAAUGAAUUGUAUUAUAUAUAUGUAUCUCUGCGAGUAAUUCAAAUAAGGCCAAUUUAGCUUUUAAUGAGGAAACAUUAAAUUCAAUCCGAAUCCUACACGUGCGCGAUUUUCCAAAUUCCCGCCGAGCAUCGUCCUGACGCCGUACCUGAGAUGACCAAGCGGCGCGCUGUGGCCAAAACAGGCCCUCGCGUUUCUUCCCACGCCGCGCGCAUCCCUUUGGCCCAAUCAAACCCAAAGUUGAGCCUGGAAGCGGGACCUGAGAGCCCCGAAGCCUCAGACGAGCGACGCCCGAACCGCAGACAAGACCUUUGUCACCUUUUUCCGAGCAAUGGUCAAUGGCGACCACGUUGUGUAAUUUCUAAAAUCAUUGGUAAUUAUCCGUUUUAUCGUUUCCUCAAGUUCCGAACAAUCAAGCUAGCUUUUAUAAAUCUCAUUUUGGCCAGUACUGUAUUUUAUCCAUGCUUAUUUUAAUUAAAACUUAAACUUUAUUUUAAACUUUAA
Neocloeon triangulifer is the source of this 1305-nucleotide long non-coding RNA. RefSeq lists it as uncharacterized. Lineage: Eukaryota; Metazoa; Arthropoda; Insecta; Ephemeroptera; Baetidae. The transcript is spliced from 2 exons. The record is from RefSeq and is a predicted model, not a curated record.